CCCAUCUGAAAUGAAAUAGUUUUCUCAGUGGUUUUCAAUAAAUAUCGCAGCGCACGUGUGUGUGUAUGUGUAUAUAUAUGCACGUGCGCUAGCCAACAGAUAUCACUAGCCGACUAUUGUUCUACCACCACAGACAGUCUACCGAAUCCGAAGAUGAGAGUUCUGUUGAUUUUCGCUUUGCUCUGCGCUUUGUUGCUGUGCUCUGAAAGUCGCCACGAUGAACGUGGGAGAGGGUGCGGGAGAAUAAUUCACGACCUGCAACAUAUGAUUGAGAACCUGCAAGCCGAGUUGGAUGAAUGCCUUGCGCCACCUACUACAACGCCGCCAGCCGGACCUACUACAACGCCGCCAGCCACAUCUCCGCCUUAAGGU
Molecule: long non-coding RNA, 372 nt
Organism: Gigantopelta aegis
Lineage: Eukaryota; Metazoa; Mollusca; Gastropoda; Neomphalida; Peltospiridae
Exons: 5
Source: RefSeq, a predicted model, not a curated record